Molecule: long non-coding RNA, 210 nt
Filed under: Amborella trichopoda
Lineage: Eukaryota; Viridiplantae; Streptophyta; Magnoliopsida; Amborellales; Amborellaceae
Description: long non-coding RNA (ATRI_LNC004756)
Source: RNAcentral
UCCUAUUCUAUGCUUGUCAAUGGAUGCAUGACUUUAAAGUGCGUACCUCGUUCAUGGAUGCAUGACGUUAAACUACCUAUCUCAUCCAUGGAUGCAUGACGCUAAACUGCUUACCUCGUCCAUCACCGCAUGACGAUAAACUAUUUGGAUGACUCCUCGGUUGCAUGAGUUUAAAAUGCGAACCAAGUCUAUCUUCAAUCUUUCAAAAAU